This is a long non-coding RNA of Apis florea (little honeybee), 403 nucleotides long. Lineage: Eukaryota; Metazoa; Arthropoda; Insecta; Hymenoptera; Apidae. The record is from RefSeq and is a predicted model, not a curated record.
UUAUCACAUUCUAUUUACUUUCGUAAGAAUAUAUUUUUAUAAUUCAAUAAUAUGAUACUGUGAAAAAAUUUGCCAAAUAUUUUUCUUGAUAUCACGUGAUCAUCUGAACAGAUGACACUGAAAGUCUUCCUGUUUCCUCGCUUGAAAUGAACGCGUGUAAGUAUACAAAUGUUUCACCAAUCGCAUUCUCUCCUACCGGGUGUUUCACAACGAACUAUAUACGAAAGAAGUAUGUAAUGAGACGCGAACCGUUAACCGAACGAAGGAAAACGAGCUGUUGACUGGCCUACCAUUGCGACACAAUAGCCAUCCAAGCAAUUACGAUAUACAUGGCCUAUGUAAACGGUUCGAAAGCGGUUCGAUUUUAAUUGACUGAAAGAAUAAACGAACAUCAUUGUCGGAA